RNAcentral lists this long non-coding RNA (448 nucleotides) under Carica papaya (papaya). RNAcentral's name for it is "long non-coding RNA (CPAP_LNC004418)". The record is from RNAcentral. Lineage: Eukaryota; Viridiplantae; Streptophyta; Magnoliopsida; Brassicales; Caricaceae.
GACGAAUAUUGUAUUUCGUGUUUUAAAUUUCAUAUUUUUAUUUAACUAAAUGAUUCUCAAAAUUUAUUAUUUUCUUUUUUCAUAAUUUAUUGUAUUUAUUAAUUAAAACGAAUUUCAGGAAAAACGGAAAAAAAGCAAAAAAUCCCACGGGAAGGAUCUUGCUAGCGUAGGACGUGCGCAUUGUGCACACAUCCCGUCCGCGUGGGGCGUGAGGCGCGGUCUGCGCGUAGACAUGGGCAGUUUGCGCACGCAUCCCAUUGAGCACAGAUGGGCACGACUCUGUGCGCCCGCUGUCUACGCAGUAGACUUGCGCGGUAGGCCUACACCCAUGGACCUACACGCAGUAGACCUGCGCGCAAUGCCCUGCACGUUGUAGGGCCUGCGUACGACAGGCUAGGCCUGCAGUGCACUUCUAGCUUGGGCAGCGUGCAACUGCCUUGGACAGUGC